GACGAACGCUGGCGGCGUGCUUAACACAUGCAAGUCGAACGGAAAGGCCUCUUUCGGGGGGUACUCGAGUGGCGAACGGGUGAGUAACACGUGAGUAACCUGCCCUUGAUUUUGGGAUAACUUCAGGAAACUGGGGCUAAUACCGGAUAGGAGCUCCUGCUGCAUGGGGGGGGUUGGAAAGUUUCGGCGGUUGGGGAUGGACUCGCGGCUUAUCAGCUUGUUGGGUGGGUAGUGGCUUACCAAGGCUUUUACGGGUAGCCGGCCUGAGAGGGUGACCGGCGACAUUGGGGCUGAGAGACGGCCCAGACUCCUACGGGAGGCAGAAGUGGGGAAUAUUGCACAAUGGGUGGAAGCCUGAGGCAGCGACGCCGUGUGCGGGAUGACGGCCUUCGGGUUGUAAACCGCUUUCGCUCAUGACGAAGCUUUGUGUGACGGUAGUGGGUAAAGAAGCACCGGCUAACUACGUG
This 467-nucleotide ribosomal RNA is filed under the name uncultured bacterium. Its description in RNAcentral is "partial 16S ribosomal RNA". It matches the Rfam family "Bacterial small subunit ribosomal RNA", at positions 28 to 507 of the family's 1533-position model. The record is from RNAcentral.